This 1535-nucleotide long non-coding RNA is filed under the name Rhinopithecus bieti (black snub-nosed monkey). Its description in RNAcentral is "lncRNA (ENSRBIG00000046646.1)". Lineage: Eukaryota; Metazoa; Chordata; Mammalia; Primates; Cercopithecidae. The record is from RNAcentral.
CCUAGAUCAAUAACAUCAGCAUCACCUGGGAGCUUGUUAGGAAUGCAGAUAAUCAGAUCUUAUACCUACUGACUCAAACUCUGGGAUUGAACCCCAGCCAUCUGAUUCCCUCCAGGUGAUUCUGAUGCCCACUGAAAUUUGGGAACUGGUGUAGGAAGAUAUUGAGUCUGUAGUCAGCCUCCUUUCUUAGGCAAGCAGCCUAAGCUCUCUGUGACAGAUAUUAGCAUCUGUAAAAUGGGAAUAACAAUAGAACUCACGUUAUGGGGUGUCUGAGCUUGAUCAGGAAGCUGACACCAACUAUGGGGAAAAGCUGAGGUUCCAAUGCCAGGAGAGCAUGGCUAAGUCUUUAAUCUGGAGGGGCUGAAGACAGAAACAGAAGCACGAUUUAUAGUAAGCAAGACAAGAGUGAGAGGGAAUGGUUUGGGACCAACUGGGGAGAUGGGGUGCCCUGAGAACUUGCCUUGGUGGGCCAUGGGGGCUUGACUCAGCACCUUUAUCAGUGCAGCCUAGGUGAGGACAGGUGGGGCUACGAGGAUGAAAUUCUAAAGGGCCAAAGUUUGGAGGGUAACGUCUUCCUCUGAGGCAGUGGAAGAACCUGCCGAUGGAGGGACCACAGAAGGAUCGUGGGAGAACAACGGGAACUGCAGGAGAGAUAGUAUUCUGUAAAAUCUCUGAAUUAACUCUGAGAAGCUGUUAGGAUCUGUGGAAGAUUAUGUGAAAAGAAACACACCAGCUGGAAGGUUUUCUGUUCAUGUCUGUGACAAGAUUAUAAUAAUGACUGGUUACCAUGAUUCACAGGGAUCUAGGGUUCUUUUGUGAUCUACCGUCUACCAGCUUCUACAUAAAUUAUGAAAAUUAGAUUGACUCUGCCAAGAAGGGAAAAGACCAGAGGAUUAGAAGCAUGAACAGUAGGUCUGGGUGAGGGGAUGGGAGGAAAGGAAGUCCCCCCUCCCCUGAAAAAAAUGGUAAGAACUUGGGAAAUGAAGGAGGGAAGACAUUCACCUGACUUUCAGAUUCAUGGCUUGAUCACCAAGUAUCGUAGGUUCACAUCCUUUCCGGCUGUUCAGAAGAACUCUAUCACAUCUGCCUGGGAGAGCAAUAAAGAGACUUGGUGGCAAAACACAACACAAGUAAUUGCUCAUCCUGUGCGAAAUGCCUUCCAUCCGCUCUGGGAAAACCUCCUUGUGGCAGGAAGAAGCCAGGUAGUAUGGAAUAAAAGGUCACAGUCAUCUUCAUUCUGAAUUUGACGGAAUCAAUCUGCAUUGUCAAUAUUGCUGCUUAAUAAUUAUUUAAGGUCUCAUGUGGAAUAAUUCAAAGAACACAUAUCACAUAGUUACAAACUCUACGUUAAUGCUGGUAUCCUCAAAAAGGGUGAGCUAUUCAUGCAUAUGUAUGUCAGGGUCACUUUUGAAUGUUCAUGUUAUGUCAUUUUUAUUUUCUUCUAUAGAUUUAAAAUAAAAUAUUUUGAUAGAUAACAUGAAUUUCAUGUGGGAAGAGUGCUUCUAGAUAGAUUUGCAGGGAGUUGAGAGUCUUUC